UUAAGCGACUAAGCGUACACGGUGGAUGCCCUGGCAGUCAGAGGCGAUGAAGGACGUGCUAAUCUGCGAAAAGCGUCGGUAAGGUGAUAUGAACCGUUAUAGCCGGCGAUGUCCGAAUGGGGAAACCCAGUGCAAUUCGUUGCACUAUCGUUUGAUGAAUACAUAGUCAAACGAGGCGAACCGGGGGAACUGAAACAUCUAAGUACCCCGAGGAAAAGAAAUCAACCGAGAUUCCCCCAGUAGCGGCGAGCGAACGGGGAGCAGCCCGGAGUCUGAAUCAGCUUGUGUGUUAGUGGAAGCGUCUGGAAAGUCGCAGGGUACAGGGUGAUACUCCCGUACACUAAAAUGCACAGGUUGUGAACUCGAAGAGUAGGGCGGGACACGUGGUAUCCUGUCUGAAUAUGGGGGGACCAUCCUCCAAGGCUAAAUACUCCUGACUGACCGAUAGUGAACCAGUACCGUGAGGGAAAGGCGAAAAGAACCCCGGCGAGGGGAGUGAAAAAGAACCUGAAACCGUGUACGUACAAGCAGUAGGAGCCCACUUGUUGGGUGACUGCGUACCUUUUGUAUAAUGGGUCAGCGACUUAUAUUCUGUAGCAAGGUUAACCGUAUAGGGGAGCCGCAGGGAAACCGAGUCUUAACUGGGCGUUAAGUUGCAGGGUAUAGACCCGAAACCCGGUGAUCUAGCCAUGGGCAGGUUGAAGGUUGGGUAACACUAACUGGAGGACCGAACCGACUAAUGUUGAAAAAUUAGCGGAUGACUUGUGGCUGGGGGUGAAAGGCCAAUCAAACCGGGAGAUAGCUGGUUCUCCCCGAAAGCUAUUUAGGUAGCGCCUCGUGAACUCAUCUUCGGGGGUAGAGCACUGUUUCGGCUAGGGGGUCAUCCCGACUUACCAACCCGAUGCAAACUACGAAUACCGAAGAAUGUUAUCACGGGAGACACACGGCGGGUGCUAACGUCCGUCGUGAAGAGGGAAACAACCCAGACCGCCAGCUAAGGUCCCAAAGUCAUGGUUAAGUGGGAAACGAUGUGGGAAGGCCCAGACAGCCAGGAUGUUGGCUUAGAAGCAGCCAUCAUUUAAAGAAAGCGUAAUAGCUCACUGGUCGAGUCGGCCUGCGCGGAAGAUGUAACGGGGCUAAACCAUGCACCGAAGCUGCGGCAGCGACGCUUAUGCGUUGUUGGGUAGGGGAGCGUUCUGUAAGCCGUUGAAGGUGGCCUGUGAGGGUUGCUGGAGGUAUCAGAAGUGCGAAUGCUGACAUAAGUAACGAUAAUGCGGGUGAAAAACCCGCACGCCGGAAGACCAAGGGUUCCUGUCCAACGUUAAUCGGGGCAGGGUGAGUCGACCCCUAAGGCGAGGCCGAAAGGCGUAGUCGAUGGGAAACAGGUUAAUAUUCCUGUACUCGGUGUUACUGCGAAGGGGGGACGGAGAAGGCUAUGUUGGCCGGGCGACGGUUGUCCCGGUUUAAGCAUGUAGGCGGAUGUUCCAGGUAAAUCCGGAACGUUAUUAACGCUGAGGUGUGAUGACGAGGCACUACGGUGCUGAAGUGACAAAUGCCCUGCUUCCAGGAAAAGCCUCUAAGCAUCAGGUAACAUCAAAUCGUACCCCAAACCGACACAGGUGGUCAGGUAGAGAAUACCAAGGCGCUUGAGAGAACUCGGGUGAAGGAACUAGGCAAAAUGGUGCCGUAACUUCGGGAGAAGGCACGCUGAUGGUAAGUGAAGUGACUUGCUCAUGGAGCUGAAAUCAGUCGAAGAUACCAGCUGGCUGCAACUGUUUAUUAAAAACACAGCACUGUGCAAACACGAAAGUGGACGUAUACGGUGUGACGCCUGCCCGGUGCCGGAAGGUUAAUUGAUGGGGUUAUCCGUAAGGAGAAGCUCUUGAUCGAAGCCCCGGUAAACGGCGGCCGUAACUAUAACGGUCCUAAGGUAGCGAAAUUCCUUGUCGGGUAAGUUCCGACCUGCACGAAUGGCGUAAUGAUGGCCAGGCUGUCUCCACCCGAGACUCAGUGAAAUUGAACUCGCUGUGAAGAUGCAGUGUACCCGCGGCAAGACGGAAAGACCCCGUGAACCUUUACUAUAGCUUGACACUGAACACUGGUCCUUGAUGUGUAGGAUAGGUGGGAGGCUUUGAAGUGUGGACGCCAGUCUGCAUGGAGCCAUCCUUGAAAUACCACCCUUUAAUGGCUGGUGUUCUAACGUGGGCCCGUAAUCCGGGUUGCGGACAGUGUCUGGUGGGUAGUUUGACUGGGGCGGUCUCCUCCUAAAGAGUAACGGAGGAGCACGAAGGUCAGCUAAUCCUGGUCGGACAUCAGGAGGUUAGUGCAAUGGCAUAAGCUGGCUUGACUGCGAGCGUGACGGCGCGAGCAGGUGCGAAAGCAGGUCAUAGUGAUCCGGUGGUUCUGAAUGGAAGGGCCAUCGCUCAACGGAUAAAAGGUACUCCGGGGAUAACAGGCUGAUACCGCCCAAGAGUUCAUAUCGACGGCGGUGUUUGGCACCUCGAUGUCGGCUCAUCACAUCCUGGGGCUGAAGUAGGUCCCAAGGGUAUGGCUGUUCGCCAUUUAAAGUGGUACGCGAGCUGGGUUUAGAACGUCGUGAGACAGUUCGGUCCCUAUCUGCCGUGGGCGCUGGAGAAUUGAGGGGGGCUGCUCCUAGUACGAGAGGACCGGAGUGGACGCAUCACUGGUGUUCGGGUUGUCAUGCCAAUGGCAUUGCCCGGUAGCUAAAUGCGGAAGAGAUAAGUGCUGAAAGCAUCUAAGCACGAAACUUGCCCCGAGAUGAGUUCUCCCUGACUCCUUGAGAGUCCUGAAGGAACGUUGAAGACGACGACGUUGAUAGGCCGGGUGUGUAAGCGCAGCGAUGCGUUGAGCUAACCGGUACUAAUGAACCGUGAGGCUUAACCUU
RNAcentral lists this ribosomal RNA (2905 nucleotides) under Klebsiella oxytoca. RNAcentral's name for it is "bacterial LSU rRNA". It matches the Rfam family "Bacterial large subunit ribosomal RNA". RNAcentral also lists the same sequence under 1 other name. The record is from RNAcentral. Lineage: Bacteria; Pseudomonadati; Pseudomonadota; Gammaproteobacteria; Enterobacterales; Enterobacteriaceae.